Molecule: ribosomal RNA, 676 nt
Filed under: Rothia dentocariosa
Lineage: Bacteria; Bacillati; Actinomycetota; Actinomycetes; Micrococcales; Micrococcaceae
Description: bacterial SSU rRNA
Rfam family: Bacterial small subunit ribosomal RNA
Source: RNAcentral
AUGGGCGCAAGCCUGAUGCAGCGACGCCGCGUGAGGGAUGACGGCCUUCGGGUUGUAAACCUCUGUUAGCAUCGAAGAAGCGAAAGUGACGGUAGGUGCAGAGAAAGCGCCGGCUAACUACGUGCCAGCAGCCGCGGUAAUACGUAGGGCGCGAGCGUUGUCCGGAAUUAUUGGGCGUAAAGAGCUUGUAGGCGGUUGGUCGCGUCUGCUGUGAAAGGCUGGGGCUUAACCCUGGUUUUGCAGUGGGUACGGGCUAACUAGAGUGCAGUAGGGGAGACUGGAAUUCCUGGUGUAGCGGUGGAAUGCGCAGAUAUCAGGAGGAACACCGAUGGCGAAGGCAGGUCUCUGGGCUGUAACUGACGCUGAGAAGCGAAAGCAUGGGGAGCGAACAGGAUUAGAUACCCUGGUAGUCCAUGCCGUAAACGUUGGGCACUAGGUGUGGGGGACAUUCCACGUUUUCCGCGCCGUAGCUAACGCAUUAAGUGCCCCGCCUGGGGAGUACGGCCGCAAGGCUAAAACUCAAAGAAAUUGACGGGGGCCCGCACAAGCGGCGGAGCAUGCGGAUUAAUUCGAUGCAACGCGAAGAACCCUACCAAGGCUUGACAUAUACUGGACUGCGUCAGAGAUGGCGUUUCCCUUCGGGGCUGGUAUACAGGUGGUGCAUGGUUGUCCUCCA